This is a long non-coding RNA of Lycium ferocissimum, 2358 nucleotides long. RefSeq lists it as uncharacterized. The record is from RefSeq and is a predicted model, not a curated record. Lineage: Eukaryota; Viridiplantae; Streptophyta; Magnoliopsida; Solanales; Solanaceae. The transcript has 2 exons.
AAUUUCUGGGGGUCAUGUCCUGUUUAAAUUACUCUGUUACUGCUCUGGCCUUUGCCAUGUCAGGUGCGCUUGCAUGGCAGGUCUCUAUCCUUAAUAAAAUUGGGUUUUUUGGGAUGUGAGGGGGAGAUAGCACGGGAUUUUUUUAUUUUUUUUUGGCCCGGGAUCUCUCUCCUCUUGCGGUGUGUGUGUUUUAUGAUUCUCUAUGUCUUGUGUGCUUAAAUUGAUCGUCAGACCUACUGCAAAAAGCAACGUCUCAACGAGCUAUCCUUAAUUGGCCACCCACAUCAGGUACACCGUGGUUAGCAUCUUUUCUGCUUGAAUUUUGCAAUUGAUUAUAAUGCGCGUUAGAGACAGCAAAAAACCGAGAUAGCUAUUUUUUAUAGCAUAGCAACAAUUAUUCUAAAUACAUUGUCAACGGAAGCAACCUAAUUGGGGUUAUAACAUAAGCUGAUAGUUUGUGCAGUCAGCUCCAUAGAUGUGAGGAAUGUGAUCUUUCAAGUUUCGAACAUGAAUUUCAUCACAGUGGUAACUCUGAAACUAGUAAGCCAAUUAGUAUCUUUCUGUAGAAACUUGCUUGUGAUGAAAUCCAUGUGAACUCUUCAUCUAGUCCGCCAAGCAAACCUCGCGGACCUCAGGUAUGCAUCAUAGGCUCGUAAUUAUGAUUUGCUUGGAUUCACAAUAAAUGAUGCAUGGGCAACACACGAAAUAUCGGAUCACUUUGUAGCAAUAGAAAAUGUUUUCAACUCAAUACUUCCAGAAUUUGAUGAAAUAAGUUAUUAUUCUAUGAAUGCGGAUGUUUACAUGAGUUUUAUUGCAGCAGAUAUUUGCUCGAUUAAUCCAAGCUGGUAUCGUACCGGAUCUUUCAUAUUUAAGUUUUCCUUCUGCUGAUGUCCAUUAUCUGUCUCUGUAUGAGAGUCAGCUAUUACUACUCUUUAUUUCACGAUUAGACUAUAAGAAGCGCUAGUGACUGUGCGAUGAAUCAUGGAAAAUUUCAAAUAUUAGUUGAAGGUGAACGGUUUAAAUUUGAGUACAAACCAAAAUUGCUUUGCGAAUCUGGUAUUGUGGUGGUAUGGUAUUUGAUUAUUCAACUUGGAACACAAACUGUUCCAGCCGAUACAUGUGAAGGACUUUGGCGUUGGUAUAAUAUUUGAAGGGGAAAUCAGAAGGAUGUAAAUUAAAGAACAAUUUAACUAUGGUGAUUUUUCCUAAUAUCUGGAAAGGACUCUGAGGGAUUAUGUUAUCAAAUCAAAUUAAUCGAGGUUUUCUGUCCUAUUAUCGCAGAUGUGCUUUAGCAUCAGAUGAUGUUUGAUGUAUGAUGCUUGGUUUUUAUUAUGGUUGCAAACACGUUCUUUCUGUAGGCCUUGAUCAAUGAUAGUUCAAGGCUACAGGGUAUAUAUUAGUGUGCAUCGGGGACAGAUCUUGUAGACUUAAUAGGGAGAAAGUACAAGAUAGAAGGUCUGUUUCUCGUGUAGCGAAGUGCUGGAACUUCCUCCUAAAGAAGAGCUGCUGGUAUGCAGAAUUAGGGGUGAACAUCGGUCAAUUCAUCUUAUUGAGUGCAAGCAUUUCUUCGGCUGGUGAACAGAUUGCUCAUAUGAUUUGAGUCUUGAAAGUUUGGAGUUUCGACUGCAAAGAUCCUUGUACUUCUUUCAGGAUUUUCAGGAUUCUCGAGCAAGGCAGUCUGGAUAUCACAGAAUAUUGUUCCAGUAGCUGAGACAAACAGCUCAAUGUCACCGGCUACUGAGAAAUUUUGAAGAAAUAGAAUUAAGGCCCGCCGUGUAGCCAGUAACAGCAUCGAGGGAAACAGGAUAAGGAACAAAGAUCCCUGAUAGUAGUCCAUUCAACACAUAAAUAUCAACUAGCAUGCGAGGAAACCCUUAGAAGAUUGUACAACUGUUCGCUGAGAUAUUGACUUGUAAAGGAUACAAGAGGUUCACUGUGAUGCAGAAUGUCGACUUUCCUCUUCCUAUACAAAGGCGGUGAGAAUGAGCAGGCAAUCUGGCAAAAGGAAAUAAUGAAACAGAUCAUUGAUCUUGAACUAUUCACCCAGGAAAAGACUUCAAGGCCAACGUAGGCAUCUAUUUUGGACCUUGUUCAGAAAUCUGAGAAACUAAAGGAGAUGAUCUACAGGGCCCAAAGGGAAGCCGAGGGAGUGCGGGUGUCCAUCCAUCAUUUAAAAUCGUAUAUGUUUGUGUAUGUUUUGUGUGUUUUUUUCCAUAGAGAAUCGGCCAGAACAAAUUUGUAUGGUUCUUCUAGUGUCCGUGUACUAAAACUGGACUUGUAAUGUUCCGCACAUUUUAUAUUAUGUUAGUAUAUGUGGACAGUUUUGUUCCCCAUUUUAAUAAAGAUUUUGUUAAUUUA